GGUGGCUCAGUGUUAGAGCACUUGCCUUGCAUGCAUGAGACCCUGGGUUCGAUUCCUCAGCACCA
RNAcentral lists this transfer RNA (65 nucleotides) under Dipodomys ordii (Ord's kangaroo rat). It matches the Rfam family "tRNA". From Rfam's summary of the family: Transfer RNA (tRNA) molecules are approximately 80 nucleotides in length. Lineage: Eukaryota; Metazoa; Chordata; Mammalia; Rodentia; Heteromyidae. The record is from Rfam by way of RNAcentral.